This 82-nucleotide transfer RNA is filed under the name Oryctolagus cuniculus (rabbit). It matches the Rfam family "tRNA". Rfam says of the family: Transfer RNA (tRNA) molecules are approximately 80 nucleotides in length. Their secondary structure includes four short double-helical elements and three loops (D, anti-codon, and T loops). Further hydrogen bonds mediate the characteristic L-shaped molecular structure. tRNAs have two regions of fundamental functional importance: the anti-codon, which is responsible for specific mRNA codon recognition, and the 3' end, to which the tRNAs corresponding amino acid is attached (by aminoacyl-tRNA synthetases). tRNAs cope with the degeneracy of the genetic code in two manners: having more than one tRNA (with a specific anti-codon) for a particular amino acid; and 'wobble' base-pairing, i.e. permitting non-standard base-pairing at the 3rd anti-codon position. Lineage: Eukaryota; Metazoa; Chordata; Mammalia; Lagomorpha; Leporidae. The record is from Rfam by way of RNAcentral.
GGCGCUGUGGCAUAGUGGGUAAAGCCCCGGCCUGCAGUGCCAGCAUCCCAUAUGGGCGCUGGUUCGAGACCUGUCUGCUCCA